ACCCUGGUGUUUUUUAACACCACCCUUUUCACAAGAAAAAAUCAG
Non-coding RNA from Phytophthora ramorum (sudden oak death agent), 45 nucleotides. NCBI's taxonomy places the organism in Eukaryota, Oomycota, Peronosporomycetes, Peronosporales, Peronosporaceae. The record is from Rfam.